This 632-nucleotide long non-coding RNA is filed under the name Brassica napus (rape). RNAcentral's name for it is "long non-coding RNA (BNAP_LNC016044)". The record is from RNAcentral. Lineage: Eukaryota; Viridiplantae; Streptophyta; Magnoliopsida; Brassicales; Brassicaceae.
AUAGCUUAGGGCCAAAUCACCUUCUUCUUCUUCUUCUUCUUGACCUUCAUCCUCCGAAAAGCACCGCCGCGAAAACAAGAUUAGAAAUCGAUCGGGAAUCGUCUUCGUCUCAAUCUCAGUUUGUGCCUUAUAUGAAAGUAGAUAGAGAAAUCUGAUGAAGUUCCGCCGCAGGCUCAAUCUCUGGCUCCGUUUCCGAUCUCCUCCUUCGCGGCGAGUCUGAAAUCGGUCGUCACCGGGUCGUAACUCUCCGUGCCAUCUCGUCUUCCUCUGCGUCUUCAAAUCGUUGGCUCGUCAAGCUCUGUCGUGCCUUCCUCCCUGACCUCUCCUCCUCUCCAAACGUCGACAAACCAAACCGGGGUCGAUCCGAUCUGUCGAACCUCAAAGGGAUCGAUUCCUAAACCAAGUUUCUUAUAUUUGCACGACUGGUCCUUUAACUUUUGUCUGUCUGUAAUUUGGCCCUAAAAAUUGCAAAUUUGCACAACUGCUUUUCACUUAGGGUCCACAGUUCUAAGUAUGCAAUAUAACCCCUACUUUAUGAAGAUUAGUAUGCAAAUCCAAUCCAAUCUUAAAAUGAAAAGCUAAAACCAUGAAAUACAUUAUUAUCUUUUAAAUAUUAGCCAUAGGUACGACGA